AUUGAACGCUGGCGGCAUGCCUUACACAUGCAAGUCGAACGGCAGCACGGGAGCAAUCCUGGUGGCGAGUGGCGAACGGGUGAGUAAUAUAUCGGAACGUGCCCAGUCGUGGGGGAUAACGUAGCGAAAGCUACGCUAAUAUCGCAUACGAUCUAUGGAUGAAAGCGGGGGAUCGCAAGACCUCGCGCGAUUGGAGCGGCCGAUAUCAGAUUAGGUAGUUGGUGAGGUAAAGGCUCACCAAGCCGACGAUCUGUAGCUGGUCUGAGAGGACGACCAGCCACACUGGGACUGAGACACGGCCCAGACUCCUACGGGAGGCAGCAGUGGGGAAUUUUGGACAAUGGGCGCAAGCCUGAUCCAGCAAUGCCGCGUGCAGGAUGAAGGCCUUCGGGUUGUAAACUGCUUUUGUACGGAACGAAACGGUGAGCUCUAAUACAGUUUGCUAAUGACGGUACCGUAAGAAUAAGCACCGGCUAACUACGUG
This 484-nucleotide ribosomal RNA is filed under the name uncultured bacterium. Its description in RNAcentral is "bacterial SSU rRNA". It matches the Rfam family "Bacterial small subunit ribosomal RNA", at positions 30 to 507 of the family's 1533-position model. The record is from RNAcentral.